UGAGGAAUAUUGGUCAAUGGGCGAGAGCCUGAACCAGCCAAAUCGCGUGAAGGAAGACUGCCUUAUGGGUUGUAAACUUCUUUUAUACAGGAAUAAAAAAGGGGACGUGUCCCUUAUUGCAUGUACUGUAUGAAUAAGCAUCGGCUAACUCCGUGCCAGCAGCCGCGGUAAUACGGAGGAUGCGAGCGUUAUCCGGAUUUAUUGGGUUUAAAGGGUGCGCAGGCGGGCUUUUAAGUCAGCGGUGAAAUCUCGGGGCUUAACUCCGAAACUGCCGUUGAAACUGGGAGUCUUGAGUAUGGAUGAAGUAGGCGGAAUUCGUUGUGUAGCGGUGACAUGCUUAGAUAUAACGAGGAACUCCGAUUGCGUAGGCAGCUUACUAAGCCAUAACUGACGCUCAAGCACGAAAGCGUGGGGAUCAAACAGGAUUAGAUACCCUGGUAGUCCACGCCGUAAACGAUGAUUACUAGUUGUAUGCGAUAUACCGUAUGUGACUAAGCGAAAGCGAUAAGUAAUCCACCUGGGGAGUACGCCGGCAACGGUGAAACUCAAAUGAAUUGAC
This 559-nucleotide ribosomal RNA is filed under the name uncultured bacterium. Its description in RNAcentral is "partial 16S ribosomal RNA". It matches the Rfam family "Bacterial small subunit ribosomal RNA", at positions 355 to 914 of the family's 1533-position model. The record is from RNAcentral.